This 112-nucleotide ribosomal RNA is filed under the name Caerostris darwini. The record is from RNAcentral. Lineage: Eukaryota; Metazoa; Arthropoda; Arachnida; Araneae; Araneidae.
AACGGCCGUACCAUGCUGAAUAUACCGGUUCUCGUUAGAUCACCGAAGUCAAGCAUCAUUGGGCGCGGUCAGUACUUGGGUGGGUGACGACCUGAGGACACCCCGUGCCGUU